GACGAACGCUGGCGGCGCGCUUAACACAUGCAAGUCGAGCGAUAACCAUGGCUUCGGUCAUGGGGAGAGCGGCGAACGGGUGAGUAACACGUGAGCGAUCUGCCCUCGACACUGGGAUAGCCCGGGGAAACCCGGAUUAAUACCGGAUAGCCUCUCGAGCUCUCGGGCUCGUGAGAAAAGAUGGCUUCGGCUUUCGGUUGAGGAGGAGCUUGCGGCGGAUUAGCUUGUUGGUGAGGUAACGGCUCACCAAGGCGACGAUCCGUAGCUGGUCUGAGAGGACGAUCAGCCACACUGGGACUGAGACACGGCCCAGACUCCUACGGGAGGCAGCAGUGGGGAAUCUUGCGCAAUGGGCGAAAGCCUGACGCAGCGACGCCGCGUGAGGGAAGAAGGCCUUCGGGUUGUAAACCUCUUUCAGGAGGGACGAAGCUACUCGGGUUAAUAGCCCAGAGGGUGACGGUACCUCCAGAAGAAGCCCCGGCUAACUACGUGC
RNAcentral lists this ribosomal RNA (493 nucleotides) under uncultured bacterium. RNAcentral's name for it is "bacterial SSU rRNA". It matches the Rfam family "Bacterial small subunit ribosomal RNA", at positions 28 to 508 of the family's 1533-position model. The record is from RNAcentral.